Long non-coding RNA from Lontra canadensis (Northern American river otter), 462 nucleotides. RefSeq lists it as uncharacterized. Lineage: Eukaryota; Metazoa; Chordata; Mammalia; Carnivora; Mustelidae. The transcript has 3 exons. The record is from RefSeq and is a predicted model, not a curated record.
UCCACACCACACCACCCCCAGUGAAAUCCUGGCACCCAGAGAGCUCUCCUUUCAGCCAGAGAUCCCAGAACCAGCCGCUGUCCCCUGGCAAAAGAGGCCCAGGGCUGAGCCCUGGGCAAGUGUCUGCAGACAAUGUACCCCUCCUCUCCUGUUAGUUUCCCUUACCAACAGAAAUCAUUUCCCUCUGCCACCCAAACCAGAUUGCAUCCAAAAGUUUCUCAUAAGCUUAAAAAUGAAAAGCGAAAAAUUGACAACUGUUACACAGAAGAGCCCACAAAUCUACAGCAGCAUAAGGGUGAAGAAGCAGCGACAGACCCAGAGCAUGUGAGAAGUGGAGUCCUAUGAUUCCUCAUGACAAACCCACCAGAACUACUGUGACCUCAAGCUCCUUUAUAUGCCGAAUCCCAGGCAUUCUGGCUAUGACGUGAUUCUUAAUACGUUCCCUCAAACAGAGACUUUCCG